GACGAACGCUGGCGGCGUGCUUAACACAUGCAAGUCGAACGGAAAGGCCCUGCUUUUGUGGGGUGCUCGAGUGGCGAACGGGUGAGUAACACGUGAGUAACCUGCCCUUGACUUUGGGAUAACUUCAGGAAACUGGGGCUAAUACCGGAUAGGAGCUCCUGCUGCAUGGUGGGGGUUGGAAAGUUUCGGCGGUUGGGGAUGGACUCGCGGCUUAUCAGCGUGUUGGUGGGGUAGUGGCUUACCAAGGCUUUGACGGGUAGCCGGCCUGAGAGGGUGACCGGCCACAUUGGGACUGGGAUACGGCCCAUACUCCUACGGGAGGCAGCAGUGGGGAAUAUUGCACACUGGGCGGAAGCCUGAUGCAGCAACGCCGCGUGCGGGAUGACGGCCUUCGGGUUGUAAACCGCUUUCGCCUGUGACGAAGCGUGAGUGACGGUAAUGGGUAAAGAAGCACCGGCUAACUACGUG
Molecule: ribosomal RNA, 468 nt
Filed under: uncultured bacterium
Lineage: Bacteria
Description: partial 16S ribosomal RNA
Rfam family: Bacterial small subunit ribosomal RNA
Source: RNAcentral